Molecule: long non-coding RNA, 479 nt
Filed under: Homo sapiens (human)
Lineage: Eukaryota; Metazoa; Chordata; Mammalia; Primates; Hominidae
Description: non-protein coding lnc-THBS2-13:1
Source: RNAcentral
UUGCAGAUUUCUCCAGCCAAUUUAAUGAUUGUCUUUGCAGUCAGGUGUAUGUCCCAGGACUUUUUCUGCCUUCCUUUCUGCUUGAAAGCUAGGCAGUUUUGGAAUUCAAGCUAAUGCUUACUUUGGGGAGCUAUUGAAGGGGAGCUACCUUAAGGGCGCCAGUGGGAGUGCCAAGAGUGUUCUCUGUCUCGAUUUGGGUAAAUAUACAUAAGUAUAUUUACAUAAUUAAAUAUACAUAAGUAUAUUUACAUGCAAAAUUAAGUAAGAUUGACUAAUAAUUAUUGCAUAAUGGAAGAAAGGCAAAAGAACUGAAGAAGAAGAAACCGCCUCCUGUUAGUGUCAUACAGCGUGUUCUCAUGAGCCCUGUGUCCUGUGUGAACUGGCUUGGCUAGAUUCAGGCUAAAGUCCCAGGUGACACUUUGCACUUGCAGCUGCACCUCCCAGGAGGCUCAGAACAUCAUGUUCAACUGCUCCUGAUA